This 482-nucleotide ribosomal RNA is filed under the name uncultured bacterium. Its description in RNAcentral is "bacterial SSU rRNA". It matches the Rfam family "Bacterial small subunit ribosomal RNA", at positions 15 to 507 of the family's 1533-position model. The record is from RNAcentral.
GAUCCUGGCUCAGAUUGAACGCUGGCGGCAGGCCUAAUACAUGCAAGUCGAACGGUAACAUAAGAAAGCUUGCUUUCUUGAUGACGAGUGGCGGACGGGUGAGUAAUAUUUGGGAAGCUACCUGAUAGAGGGGGACAACAGUUGGAAACGACUGCUAAUACCGCAUAAGAUUGUAAUGCCGCAUGGUAUAGCAAUUAAAGGAGCAAUCCGCUAUGAGAUGGACCCGCGUCGCAUUAGCUAGUUGGUGAGGUAACGGCUCACCAAGGCGACGAUGCGUAGCCGACCUGAGAGGGUGAUCGGCCACAUUGGGACUGAGACACGGCCCAGACUCCUACGGGAGGCAGCAGUGGGGAAUAUUGCACAAUGGGGGAAACCCUGAUGCAGCAACGCCGCGUGAGUGAUGACGGUCUUCGGAUUGUAAAGCUCUGUCUUUAGGGACGAUAAUGACGGUACCUAAGGAGGAAGCCACGGCUAACUACGUG